Molecule: small nuclear RNA, 78 nt
Filed under: Caenorhabditis brenneri
Lineage: Eukaryota; Metazoa; Nematoda; Chromadorea; Rhabditida; Rhabditidae
Description: snRNA CBN34280
Source: RNAcentral
GGCUCGCCCCUGAGAUCUGACCCAAAGAAAUUUGGCGUUAGCUAUAAAUUUUGGAACGUCUCCUCUAGGGGAGACAAA